Notolabrus celidotus (New Zealand spotty) is the source of this 411-nucleotide long non-coding RNA. RefSeq lists it as uncharacterized. NCBI's taxonomy places the organism in Eukaryota, Metazoa, Chordata, Actinopteri, Labriformes, Labridae. The transcript is spliced from 2 exons. The record is from RefSeq and is a predicted model, not a curated record.
GGAAGCUGAAAGGCCACCUCAACUCCACCUUUUUACCUCAUGCUAGGUCGACCGAAAGUUCAAGAGUUUGCUGUAAAUUCCCCAGACAGCUGAAUGGCAACAUAACAAGUGACAGAGGGAGAAUAGUCAAUGCUUCAUUUCCAGCCCUUCCUUGUUCAUUUAGCACCGGGGUGCCGUGGUCUUUAUUCCAUCUCUGCUCUGUCACAAGCUGUCCUCACAGCUUCUGUCAGCGCCGGGUUCAUCAUCGGGACUGAGCUGAAAUGAGGAUCGUAUAGAAAAUAACGUUUCUCCUGUCACAGAUCGAAGACCGGGGCAAAGUGGGGACACCCGACAGAAAGAUACUGUCAUCAGCAGAGAAAAGAAAUCAAGAAGUUUUAUUGGAAUGAGGAAAUAAAAGUAUUUUCAAAGUAA